GACGAACGCUGGCGGCGUGCUUAACACAUGCAAGUCGAACGGUAAGGCCCUUCGGGGUACACGAGUGGCGAACGGGUGAGUAACACGUGGGUGAUCUGCCCUGCACUUCGGGAUAAGCCUGGGAAACUGGGUCUAAUACCGGAUAGGACUGCGGGCUGCAGGGCCUGGGGGGGAAAGCUUUUGCGGUGUGGGAUGGGCCCGCGGCCUAUCAGCUUGUUGGUGGGGUGAUGGCCUACCAAGGCGACGACGGGUAGCCGGCCUGAGAGGGUGACCGGCCACACUGGGACUGAGAUACGGCCCAGGCUCCUACGGGAGGCAGCAGUGGGGAAUAUUGCACAAUGGGCGCAAGCCUGAUGCAGCGACGCCGCGUGAGGGAUGACGGCCUUCGGGUUGUAAACCUCUUUCAGCAUCGACGAAGCGAAAGUGACGGUAGGUGCAGAAGAAGGACCGGCCAACUACGUGCCAGCCGCCGCAGUAA
This 478-nucleotide ribosomal RNA is filed under the name uncultured bacterium. RNAcentral's name for it is "partial 16S ribosomal RNA". It matches the Rfam family "Bacterial small subunit ribosomal RNA", at positions 28 to 523 of the family's 1533-position model. The record is from RNAcentral.